Molecule: transfer RNA, 72 nt
Filed under: Desmophyllum pertusum
Lineage: Eukaryota; Metazoa; Cnidaria; Anthozoa; Scleractinia; Caryophylliidae
Description: Lophelia pertusa tRNA
Rfam family: tRNA
About the family: Transfer RNA (tRNA) molecules are approximately 80 nucleotides in length.
Source: Rfam by way of RNAcentral
UCUCCUGUAGCUCUGUGGUUGAGCGUCUGACCGGUGUACGGAAGGUCAUAGGUUCGACUCCUGUUGGGGAAC